Zophobas morio is the source of this 288-nucleotide long non-coding RNA. RefSeq lists it as uncharacterized. The transcript has 2 exons. NCBI's taxonomy places the organism in Eukaryota, Metazoa, Arthropoda, Insecta, Coleoptera, Tenebrionidae. The record is from RefSeq and is a predicted model, not a curated record.
AUUUUCAAAUCCAAAAUAAUUUUGGGCAUGAAUUAUUAUCGUUGUUAAUAAAACUAGGUCUUUAUAAUAUGGGAAGAAAGUGUAUGAUUUGUGGUAAUACACAGAAUCCACUUUUUGGAAUUCCUGCGGAAGUAGAUCUUAGAAACAAAUGGUUUGAAUCACUUUCAAAAUUUUGUGAUCUGACCAAGAUAAACGAUCAUACUGUUGUGUGUUCCAAACAUUUUGCAACAGAAUGUAUUGUUAGAAGCGCAAAAAGUACUCGUCUUAAUAAACAAGCGGUUCCGUUUA